GGGAGUCAGUGCAAGUGUAGCCACCGACCGUGGAGCACGCCACCGCUCCCGCCCAAACGCGCGAACCACGAACCUACAGUGGACCAGUGAACUGUUUUAGUGACGUGUGUAUACAAAUCGAGCUUCAAAAGUUAUGGACGAACAUUUUAAUUAGAUACCCGCCUUAAGUGAUAAAAGCGAACAAAAAUUUAAGUUCUCUCUAAACAAGUGCAGUGUAUAAAGUAUUAAAAAGUUUUAUUAAGUUACAAAGUCUUCAGUUGCUUCUCCAUUAAGAUACCACUUCGCACGGAUUUCAAUCAUGGAGCUCCCUACAAGCGUAGUGACGGAGCAGUCAAAACACACGCUCCCCAUACAAACGGACACCUAUUUAUAUAGUUGAGCAAACUUUUAAAAUGUAGUGUUAGUGUAUAAACUGUUCAGUGAUAAAAUGAGCUUAUAAGUUAAGUGGAUGUCGUCCGACAUGCCAUAUUACGGGUACAGGGAGGGCGGACCUGAGUCGGACUCUAGUGGGGGAUGUUCCGAGUCCGAAGGGGGGGAGUCGGACUCGGAGGGACUGAGUACA
Molecule: long non-coding RNA, 562 nt
Organism: Manduca sexta (tobacco hornworm)
Lineage: Eukaryota; Metazoa; Arthropoda; Insecta; Lepidoptera; Sphingidae
Exons: 3
Source: RefSeq, a predicted model, not a curated record